Long non-coding RNA from Suricata suricatta (meerkat), 429 nucleotides. RefSeq lists it as uncharacterized. The transcript is spliced from 3 exons. The record is from RefSeq and is a predicted model, not a curated record. Lineage: Eukaryota; Metazoa; Chordata; Mammalia; Carnivora; Herpestidae.
GCAUAUGAAGUAUCUAUGUUCCUUAUGGUGCCGAAAAUGAGGAAAUCAGGGAGAGGAAGCAAGCCCUCAGCUUUGAGACUCAUUGCUGUUGUUGCGGAUGGAAUAAUACCUACAGCAGUAGAAUUCCUGAAGUUGUACCUGGGCAUCACCUCGUUCGGCUGGAAGUAUUUCUCCCGCACUCUCUUGCAGCUCAGUAUGACCAAAUGCCUAACCUCUGGCGACUGGAAGUAAAUACAAGUGAUUUCACGUGGUGGCCUCCCAAAGACAUCCUGGACUCUUCUCAUAAGGAUGUGAAUGACUUUACUAGCUCACAAGGCUUACAUCAUCACACUAUACCAUCUGAGGAAAGAGAGAGUCUAUGUCAGAAUUCCCAGGAAAAGUCCAACCACACUCAUCUAACAAAGAUGAAAUAUCUACUCUAUUAGUCCC